RNAcentral lists this ribosomal RNA (780 nucleotides) under Triticum aestivum (bread wheat). RNAcentral's name for it is "partial small subunit ribosomal RNA". The record is from RNAcentral. Lineage: Eukaryota; Viridiplantae; Streptophyta; Magnoliopsida; Poales; Poaceae.
GCUCGUGUUGUGGCAGGAAGCAGUGAAGCUAAGAUGCCGACACUCGAGGCGUAUGGGACGAAUCUUACAAAGUUAGCACAGGAGGGAAAGUUAGCACCUGUUGUCGGAAGGGAAAAGGAGAUCGAGAGUGUCACACAAAUCUUGGGCAAAAUGAAGAAGAAGAACCCCUGCCUGAUUGGAGAGCCCGGUGUUGGGAAAACGGUGAUAUUCGAAGGGCUUGCUCUACGCAUCGCUGCCGGGGAUGUGCCUGAAACAAUUCAAGGGAAAACGGUUAUCAGUCUUGAUAUGGGGCUCCUACUUGCUGGUACCAAAUACCGCGGAGAGUUUGAAGAAAGGCUGAAGAACUUGAUGGAAGAGAUCAAACAGAACGGCGAGAUAAUAUUGUUCCUUGAUGAAGUUCACACUCUGGUAGGAGCAGGAGCAGCAGAAGGUGCUAUCGACGCGGCCAACAUUCUGAAGCCGGCACUGGCAAGAGGUGAAAUUCAGUGUAUCGGAGCCACCACAUUCGACGAAUACGCCAAGCACAUUGAGAAAGACCCUGCGCUGGAGAGGCGCUUCCAGCCUGUGAAAGUUCUAGAGCCCACGGUUGAUGAAGCCAUAGGAAUUCUCAAAGGGCUCGUGGAGCGGUACGAGGAACACCACAAGGUCAAGUAUUCCAAGGAAGCGCUAAUCGACGCCGCUAGGCUCUCGCACCGAUACAUCAGUAAUCGUUUCCUCCCGGAUAAAGCCAUCGACUUGAUUGAUGAGGCGGGAUGUCAAGUCAGGCUACGUCAUGGCAAG